CCUCUGGAAAGCCCGGUAUCCGUGACAGGGUGCCGGCACCGACGGAGUAAGGCGCGUCAACCCCGCGCUGAAUCUCUCAGGUCAUCGGACAGAGG
This 95-nucleotide non-coding RNA is filed under the name Acetobacteraceae bacterium AT-5844. RNAcentral describes it as "Glycine riboswitch aptamer". It matches the Rfam family "Glycine riboswitch aptamer", at positions 8 to 87 of the family's 94-position model. Rfam says of the family: This family represents the bacterial glycine riboswitch. Glycine riboswitches usually consist of two metabolite-binding aptamers domains with similar structures in tandem. The record is from Rfam by way of RNAcentral. Lineage: Bacteria; Pseudomonadati; Pseudomonadota; Alphaproteobacteria; Acetobacterales; Acetobacteraceae. RNAcentral also lists the same sequence under 1 other name.